CGAUACAGGGUGACAGCCCCGUACACAAAAAUGCACAUAUUGUGAGCUUGAUGAGUAGGGCGGGACACGUGGUAUCCUGUCUGAAUAUGGGGGGACCAUCCUCCAAGGCUAAAUACUCCUGACUGACCGAUAGUGAACCAGUACCGUGAGGGAAAGGCGAAAAGAACCCCGGCGAGGGGAGUGAAAAAGAACCUGAAACCGUGUACGUACAAGCAGUGGGAGCACGCUUAGGCGUGUGACUGCGUACCUUUUGUAUAAUGGGUCAGCGACUUAUAUUCUGUAGCAAGGUUAACCGAAUAGGGGAGCCGAAGGGAAACCGAGUCUUAACUGGGCGUUAAGUUGCAGGGUAUAGACCCGAAACCCGGUGAUCUAGCCAUGGGCAGGUUGAAGGUUGGGUAACACUAACUGGAGGACCGAACCGACUAAUGUUGAAAAAUUAGCGGAUGACUUGUGGCUGGGGGUGAAAGGCCAAUCAAACCGGGAGAUAGCUGGUUCUCCCCGAAAGCUAUUUAGGUAGCGCCUCGUGAAUUCAUCUCCGGGGGUAGAGCACUGUUUCGGCAAGGGGGUCAUCCCGACUUACCAACCCGAUGCAAACUGCGAAUACCGGAGAAUGUUAUCACGGGAGACACACGGCGGGUGCUAACGUCCGUCGUGAAGAGGGAAACAACCCAGACCGCCAGCUAAGGUCCCAAAGUCAUGGUUAAGUGGGAAACGAUGUGGGAAGGCCCAGACAGCCAGGAUGUUGGCUUAGAAGCAGCCAUCAUUUAAAGAAAGCGUAAUAGCUCACUGGUCGAGUCGGCCUGCGCGGAAGAUGUAACGGGGCUAAACCAUGCACCGAAGCUGCGGCAGCGACGCUUAUGCGUUGUUGGGUAGGGGAGCGUUCUGUAAGCCUGCGAAGGUGUGCUGUGAGGCAUGCUGGAGGUAUCAGAAGUGCGAAUGCUGACAUAAGUAACGAUAAAGCGGGUGAAAAGCCCGCUCGCCGGAAGACCAAGGGUUCCUGUCCAACGUUAAUCGGGGCAGGGUGAGUCGACCCCUAAGGCGAGGCCGAAAGGCGUAGUCGAUGGGAAACAGGUUAAUAUUCCUGUACUUGGUGUUACUGCGAAGGGGGGACGGAGAAGGCUAUGUUGGCCGGGCGACGGUUGUCCCGGUUUAAGCGUGUAGGCUGGUUUUCCAGGCAAAUCCGGAAAAUCAAGGCUGAGGCGUGAUGACGAGGCACUACGGUGCUGAAGCAACAAAUGCCCUGCUUCCAGGAAAAGCCUCUAAGCAUCAGGUAACAUCAAAUCGUACCCCAAACCGACACAGGUGGUCAGGUAGAGAAUACCAAGGCGCUUGAGAGAACUCGGGUGAAGGAACUAGGCAAAAUGGUGCCGUAACUUCGGGAGAAGGCACGCUGAUAUGUAGGUGAAGUCCCUUGCGGAUGGAGCUGAAAUCAGUCGAAGAUACCAGCUGGCUGCAACUGUUUAUUAAAAACACAGCACUGUGCAAACACGAAAGUGGACGUAUACGGUGUGACGCCUGCCCGGUGCCGGAAGGUUAAUUGAUGGGGUCAGCGCAAGCGAAGCUCUUGAUCGAAGCCCCGGUAAACGGCGGCCGUAACUAUAACGGUCCUAAGGUAGCGAAAUUCCUUGUCGGGUAAGUUCCGACCUGCACGAAUGGCGUAAUGAUGGCCAGGCUGUCUCCACCCGAGACUCAGUGAAAUUGAACUCGCUGUGAAGAUGCAGUGUACCCGCGGCAAGACGGAAAGACCCCGUGAACCUUUACUAUAGCUUGACACUGAACAUUGAGCCUUGAUGUGUAGGAUAGGUGGGAGGCUUUGAAGUGUGGACGCCAGUCUGCAUGGAGCCGGCCUUGAAAUACCACCCUUUAAUGUUUGAUGUUCUAACGUGGACCCGUGAUCCGGGUUGCGGACAGUGUCUGGUGGGUAGUUUGACUGGGGCGGUCUCCUCCUAAAGAGUAACGGAGGAGCACGAAGGUUGGCUAAUCCUGGUCGGACAUCAGGAGGUUAGUGCAAUGGCAUAAGCCAGCUUGACUGCGAGCGUGACGGCGCGAGCAGGUGCGAAAGCAGGUCAUAGUGAUCCGGUGGUUCUGAAUGGAAGGGCCAUCGCUCAACGGAUAAAAGGUACUCCGGGGAUAACAGGCUGAUACCGCCCAAGAGUUCAUAUCGACGGCGGUGUUUGGCACCUCGAUGUCGGCUCAUCACAUCCUGGGGCUGAAGUAGGUCCCAAGGGUAUGGCUGUUCGCCAUUUAAAGUGGUACGCGAGCUGGGUUUAGAACGUCGUGAGACAGUUCGGUCCCUAUCUGCCGUGGGCGCUGGAGAACUGAGGGGGGCUGCUCCUAGUACGAGAGGACCGGAGUGGACGCAUCACUGGUGUUCGGGUUGUCAUGCCAAUGGCACUGCCCGGUAGCUAAAUGCGGAAGAGAUAAGUGCUGAAAGCAUCUAAGCACGAAACUUGCCCCGAGAUGAGUUCUCCCUGACCCUUUAAGGGUCCUGAAGGAACGUUGAAGACGACGACGUUGAUAGGCCGGGUGUGUAAGCGCAGCGAUGCGUUGAGCUAACCGGUACUAAUGAACCGUGAGG
This 2578-nucleotide ribosomal RNA is filed under the name Shigella sonnei. Its description in RNAcentral is "partial 23S ribosomal RNA". It matches the Rfam family "Bacterial large subunit ribosomal RNA", at positions 354 to 2915 of the family's 2925-position model. Lineage: Bacteria; Pseudomonadati; Pseudomonadota; Gammaproteobacteria; Enterobacterales; Enterobacteriaceae. The record is from RNAcentral.